UGACCAAAUCACCCUUGUGGUGGACUUGGAGUUGGCCUGUACUGGCCUCUCUUAAAAUCAGUGGCGGUGCUCUUAAAGCUCUACGCGUAGUAAUUUUCUCGCUAUAGGGUCUUGAUUGUACUUGCCAACAACCCCAACUUAUCAUAA
RNAcentral lists this unclassified non-coding RNA (147 nucleotides) under uncultured Coleophoma. Its description in RNAcentral is "sequence contains ITS2". Lineage: Eukaryota; Fungi; Ascomycota; Leotiomycetes; Helotiales. The record is from RNAcentral.